ACUAGGACAAAGGCUGAAAAACUUGCCUUUCAAAUAAUCACAUAUUGAAACUAAAAAGGAUUUAAACAUGCAUCCGUCUCCUAAAUUUGUAGCGUUUCACAUACCUUACCAAAUAUCACACCUUCGUGGUGAUUGCCCUAUUUAAACCCAAAAGAGAGAGCUUUUGUAGACUGCAAAUUUGAGCUGCUGUCAUCAUCUCCUUUUCGAUUAUGACUUUGUAAAUGACCUAUUCCGGUUAAACCCCUACACCCCCUUUUCAUCCUUCUUUUCUUUGACUUUGCACAUUCAAGUUGGAUGUAAUAUACUAUUAGAUUCGACCCUUGAGGCUUUUAUUCCAACAUUUAUGUAAGCUUUUGGUGGGAUGUUUCUAUAAACACUGGCGGAGCUAUGUUGGCGAGACUCGAGAGGUUAGGGCAACCUGGUUCACAAAGAUCCCGCCGUCGCAUCCCCCAAGGUGUUAUGUAGAAAGCCUACUUUAAAGCAAGCAUUAGUGACUGUUUCUACGGCACGAACCUCUGACCUACAGGUCACAUGGAGACAACUUUACCGUUGCUUCAAGGCUCCCAUGACCUAUAGGUCACACGGAGAUACCUUUAAUUGGGAGAUUGUUCAAUUAAAUUCUUUUUGCCGGAAAAUUUUCCAUGUAUGAUGCUUUAAGGAAAUACGGAAAAGGGCCUAAACUAUCUAUAUCGUUUGCUAAAUGGUUUAUAAAUACCCUCAGUCUAUCUAUUCGUCCAAAAAAUCACACGACGUUAAUUCUAUUAAUAAAAUUAUCCCGCGACCAACGGCAGAACUAGUGAGCCUAAAAUUUAAUGACGUGUAAUUUUUUUUACUGAGCCACGUGACAAUCUCUGAUUGGAACAAAAAUGGAUAUUAUUUCGACCCAUUUACCUUAUUCGAUCCAAGGUUUUGUUACAUGGGUCAUAAAAUUUCAUUAACCCACCUAACUGAUUCUACCAAAAUUAAAUUUAGAUAUCUCACCACCAUGAGAAAAUUUUGUUUCUCAAUUAAGUACUCUUAACUUAGUUUGUUGAAGAUGCCAACGAUUUAUAUAAGCUUUUUUUUUUUCCAAUUUUCCAGGGUAAAAUAAGAAUUAUUUCCCUCACUUUUCCUUUAGUUUUAUGUAACUUUAGGGUGUUGUUCAUGGGAGAAAUGACUAUGGUGGUGGGAGCAGUAGCUAUGGUGAUGGAGUGGCGGAGACAACCGCUGCAGUGGUGAAAAUAGUGUUGCAGCUAGUAUGAUGGUGGAGGUCAACUCCCAAUGGCAGUAGUUGCGCAAGAGAGAAGAUGAAUGGGGAAGAGAGAGUUUGGGUGGAAUCAAGAAGAAGAUCGAGAAAGUGAGGAAGCCAUUGGAAACAACAGGAGAGUUCUUUAGGAGGAGGGACGACGGGAGGAAGCAUCCCAUGUUGACUAAUCAAUUUAGCUACGCUUUUCUUGGCCUUGGCAUCUCCGUCAUCGCUUUCUCCAUCUACUGCAUUGGCAAAUUUGCUUAUCACAAGAUGUCUUCCCCCUUCUCACUCCACCUCUUCCGCNNNNNNNNNNNNNNNNNNNNNNNNNAUUAUUUCGACCCAUUUACCUUAUUCGAUCCAAGGUUUUGUUACAUGGGUCAUAAAAUUUCAUUAACCCACCUAACUGAUUCUACCAAAAUUAAAUUUAGAUAUCUCACCACCAUGAGAAAAUUUUGUUUCUCAAUUAAGUACUCUUAACUUAGUUUGUUGAAGAUGCCAACGAUUUAUAUAAGCUUUUUUUUUUCCAAUUUUCCAGGG
RNAcentral lists this long non-coding RNA (1765 nucleotides) under Nicotiana tabacum (common tobacco). Its description in RNAcentral is "long non-coding RNA (NTAB_LNC015889)". The record is from RNAcentral. Lineage: Eukaryota; Viridiplantae; Streptophyta; Magnoliopsida; Solanales; Solanaceae.